This 485-nucleotide ribosomal RNA is filed under the name uncultured bacterium. RNAcentral's name for it is "partial 16S ribosomal RNA". It matches the Rfam family "Bacterial small subunit ribosomal RNA", at positions 28 to 523 of the family's 1533-position model. The record is from RNAcentral.
GACGAACGCUGGCGGCGUGCUUAACACAUGCAAGUCGAACGGUGAAAGCGGAGCUUGCUCCGCUGGAUCAGUGGCGAACGGGUGAGUAACACGUGGGCAACCUGCCCCUCACUUCGGGAUAACCCCGGGAAACCGGGGCUAAUACCGGAUAUGACCUCCUUGGGCAUCCUUGGAGGUGGAAAGUUUUUCGGUGAGGGAUGGGACGGCGGCCUAUCAGAUUGUUGGUGAGGUAGUGGCUCACCAAGGCGACGACGGGUAGCCGGCCUGAGAGGGCGACCGGCCACACUGGGACUGGGACACGGCCCAGACUCCUACGGGAGGCAGCAGUGGGGAAUAUUGCGCAAUGGGCGAAAGCCUGACGCAGCAACGCCGCGUGCGGGAUGACGGCCUUCGGGUUGUAAACCGCUUUCAGCAGGGAAGAAGCCGCAAGGUGACGGUACCUGCAGAAGAAGCACCGGCUAACUACGUGCCAGCCGCCGCAGUAA